CUCAAUAACAUAUCAGGCUCCAAUGCAUGCUUGAGUCAUUUAACAAGAUUUGUAGAAUAUUUCUAACGCUGUGCAGAUUGAGAUUUGUAAGCCGUUUGUAGAUAAUACUUAUUUCUGUAUUUACAGUUAUAUUUGACAUUCUUUGUGCCAUUUUUGGCAGUCUUUCUGUUUAUAGUUCGUAAUUGAAUGAGUAUUGACGUUUAUAAGAUGUUACCUGGCUUAUUAUUUAUGAAUAACCUUGAAGAGCACCCAUACUUGUGUCAAGAAGAAAUUGGAAUGUAUAUCAGAAAGGGGAACAUAAUCAGCAUUUGUUUUGGGCCAUAGAUUCAAAACAUUUGUUUUUUUCACUCCCUAAAAAGAGACUACGACUUUUUGGGGGGGAUACUGUGCCAUUCCUAUGUUUGGUCAGGAUGUUAAGCCAAUGCAUGCUCUGUAAAUGAGUUAAAGCCAUUAAUGUGUCACAAGAACCAUACAAAGGUCUGGGCUGUAAUUAAUAAGAUUGCAUUAGAAAACUGUGCACGAAGAAUACUAAACAAUACUUAAACACAGCCUAGGCCCUGUAGGCCUACUCCGAUGGUUCUCAAACUCCUGUGUUACAGUGGGUGAAAUUAAGACGGAAAGAGAGAGAGGAUCUGUGCUUACAUUUGCGCCGCAGGGUCAAUCUUUUAUUUGGGAGCAGCUGCAUAAUAAGGUGCCUAACAAUGAUGGGAUAAAUGUAACGAACUGAGGCAGUACUCAUGGAGGAUUUAAGAACCAGACCCUCAGAAGAGAGUGGAGAGAGCUGUGCCAAGCCAUGCUGAGGCUCCAGGCACAAGGAGUCCCUUUAUUCCCAUGCCAACCACAAGACAGUUAUGAAGGAGGAGGAGGAAGAGGAGGUGACAGGUCUAAGCCAGUUCUCGAAGGACAGGAAGAAGCUGAUUGGUUCAUCUCGAAACUCAAAAAGUAGGAGAGGGAAGGGGGGAUUAUUUUAUUAUACAAGAGUGCUUGUUUGACAUACUUGGGAUUUCCAUUUAAGCGACAAUCAAGGAAACUAUUUGAAGAUUAGAUUUAAAACGUAGAUUCAGCCUACAUUAUUUCACAGCAGGCACAUUUAGUAUAUGCUUGACAAAAUAUUUGUUAAGACAAGUGGCCUCAUCAUUCUUUAUUGAUAGAAAGAAGAUUAAGGCUUUUUAUGUCACACAAAAUAUAUUUUUUAUGAAUUAGAAAGGCCCUAAUCGUUGUCACAUGGUUGGCCUAUUUUUACUUUAAGCCUAUUGUCCCAGCUUUAGCAGUUUGUAUUCGCUUAAAAACAUUAUUCAUAUGUAUGUGACGUUUUUAUUUUUUAUUUUAAAGUACAGCAGCUCUCCAGUUCAGCCUAGAGAUGGCAGCACAAGCCUUCAAAAAUAUAGCUUCAAACAAACACUCAGGGUGUCAAACUUAUGCUUCUGAGAAAAUAAUAGAUAUAUUUAUGCAUAUAUGUGUGUACAUAUUAGUAAGUAUACAUAUAUUUGAUGGAUAAACAAUAACCAUACACUUGUAUUGAUCGUUAAAACAGUGCAUUUAAUGACAUGGGAUGGGUACUACUGGAAACAUUGAUUAUAAGUGAUAAGUGGAAAACCAUUCAAACAAACACAAUCUGUGAUUCUGUGUUAACUGUUUGUGUAUAACUCUAUUUAGACAUAAUAAAUAUAACUCUUGUACACUUGGAUCUCUGUGGCUUCUUCAUUUCUGGGGUAACACUCUCACACACACUCACACACACCCUAACUCACACA
Gadus chalcogrammus (walleye pollock) is the source of this 1754-nucleotide long non-coding RNA. RefSeq lists it as uncharacterized. The transcript is spliced from 4 exons. The record is from RefSeq and is a predicted model, not a curated record. NCBI's taxonomy places the organism in Eukaryota, Metazoa, Chordata, Actinopteri, Gadiformes, Gadidae.